AACGGACGCUGGCGGCAUGCCUAACACAUGCAAGUCGAACGAGAUCUUCGGGUCUAGUGGCGCACGGGUGCGUAACGCGUGGGAAUCUGCCCUUUGGUUCGGAAUAACAGUUGGAAACGACUGCUAAUACCGGAUGAUGACGAAAGUCCAAAGAUUUAUCGCCAAAGGAUGAGCCCGCGUAGGAUUAGCUAGUUGGUGUGGUAAAGGCGCACCAAGGCGACGAUCCUUAGCUGGUCUGAGAGGAUGAUCAGCCACACUGGGACUGAGACACGGCCCAGACUCCUACGGGAGGCAGCAGUGGGGAAUAUUGGACAAUGGGCGAAAGCCUGAUCCAGCAAUGCCGCGUGAGUGAUGAAGGCCUUAGGGUUGUAAAGCUCUUUUACCCGGGACGAUAAUGACAGUACCGGGAGAAUAAGCUCCGGCUAACUCCGUGCCAGCCGCCGCAGUAA
This 449-nucleotide ribosomal RNA is filed under the name uncultured bacterium. RNAcentral's name for it is "partial 16S ribosomal RNA". It matches the Rfam family "Bacterial small subunit ribosomal RNA", at positions 29 to 523 of the family's 1533-position model. The record is from RNAcentral.